UGCCAGAGAAUGGGUCUCGAGUACCGU
RNAcentral lists this non-coding RNA (27 nucleotides) under Rattus norvegicus (Norway rat). The record is from RNAcentral. Lineage: Eukaryota; Metazoa; Chordata; Mammalia; Rodentia; Muridae.